AAAAAAAAUGUAAGGAGAAACAUUCGCCCCCGGCAUCUGGCAAUUUGCAGGUAAAAGAAAACUAGGAACACAAUAAAUCCCAACGUGAAUAAGGGUAGGUAUCCAAACGAGUUUUGGUACAACCCCAGUCAGAGAGGCCCUUUUAUCUCACUUUAACGUUCAAAUCGGACAAGGAGGUCCGAUCUUGCGUGAGUGAAACUCCACUCUCGAAAAAUUCUAAUAGGAUAACGGCUUUGGGGGUUUGCUAUUUGAAUCUUACUAGAGUUCAGUCGUGGCAGAUGCGUAGUCGUGAAGUGAUAAUUUCAAAAAAUAAAUCAGAAUUUGUAACACUACACGACCAAAUAAUUGCGCCAUAAAUUUCCGUAAAAAUUUCCCUCGUGGUGGCUCACAUUCACGAUGACUUCAACCCCCAAUGAUUCGUUUAAUACAAGCGACCAGUUAAUGGACCUAUCCCUGAAAAACUUCUGGGUCAUUGUGCAUUAUCCCUGUAGCGACCCAGAGUGCGAAUAUGAAAUCGUGGGCAAGAAGGACCUAGUUUUUGACUCCUGGGAGGUGUUAGAACGUGGCGCUGUUGUCACAGUUAAGUAUGGUAACGCAAGAGUGCAAGGAAUCGUAGUCACAGUCUCAGACGACUAUAAUUUGCUGUCGGCGAAUUUGGAGGAUUAUAUCCAAGAAUACAAAGAGAUAAAGUUUGAAGAAUCGAGAAGCUCGUACGAAAAGCGCGGAAACUUCCGUCAUGUAAUUAAAAUCGCCGAUAAAGAAACGCAAACAGACUUUUGCGACGUUGAAAACGCGACACUAAAACGCCAAUAUGAGGAACUGCAAAAUAAAUACAACGAUUUGAAAUUGGCAGUCACUGAUGUGAAAGCCGAACUGAAAACCACAAUUUUGAAACUCGACGUUGAAGGAACGUUCAAAACCCCCUUACAACCACUGAACGACAACAAAGAAAACUCCAAACAAAUGGUGCAGAUUGGCUCAGGUGGCACGAAAAUCCCCCGUCAAGUCUACAAUUCGAUCAAAUGGGCCAGUUAUUCAGCAGCCACCCGAAAAUUACUAAUUACACUUUUCCCACGUAGUGUGCUUGCUACGCAUUCGCUAACGGGAAAACCAAGUCCCGCUUUUAUCUCCAGUAAUAAGCAAACGAAAAUGAGAUUGAACCCGACAAUCAUUUCCGAUAUCAUCGAAAUUGUCAUGAAAAAAUGUCUCGUUUCGGAGCCGUUGGUCCGAAAUGCCAUUACGACCAAAUGCGCCGACGAAAAUAAAAUGUACAAGAAACGACUAGAACGACAGCAGGUUGAAAGCGAUGACGAAAACAACGUCAAGAAAGUCAAACUUAAUUAAAUUUAGCGCCAUCACUUGUACAGUUUUCUGCAAUUAUAUGUGGACGGUUUGGAGCGGCUUUGAUAGGUGGCGCGGCACGAACAAGUCGAUUAAAUGUUAAUCUGAUCCAAAAAUCCUUUUUUUAAUUUUAUUUCAAAAGCUAGUUAUUUCAAAUUCAAAUUAAUGGCUGAUUAUAUUUGCAAAUUGCCUGCUUGACGUCACACGUGCCCUAGAAAUUUUUUACCAUUUUAAAUUUCUCCAAGUUGGUCCAAAACGGUUUAAUUGGACGAGUUGACGUCAUUUCAUCCCAUUAGAAUUUUUGUUUGCUUCCGCAAUUAGAACCCAGUUAGAGUGCUUUGCUAAAAACUUUCGUAAACACAACUGACAUCUUCAUUCAAUAGUGUUUUUUUAAUGCCAACAUUUGUAUUGUCUAUUAAAACUUAACAUAAAAUUACCUUAACUACCUUAAUUUAGUCAGAGCAAAUUCCUUCGUUUAAUUAACGAAAUAAACGGCACAAUACGGGCGUUUAUUGUUAAAUGUCCAAUAAAACAGCAUUUGCUGAUUCAAACGUGAAAGUCACAGUGAAGGUUCCUGCAAGGUUUAUGCUGUUGCUAACUCGCCGGCUUUAGCUGGGAGAAAAUUAAUAAUGCAAGAAAGACGCUGUUUACUGGAGGAAAUAUCUCAAGCAUCCAAAAGUCAAGUUUCGUCUGAUGUGUAGUGUUUUAAUCGAUGGACAGCGAGAUAAUGUGGUUGUAGAUGAAAGAUAACUCAAAUUACUUGGGAUGUACAUGGGGGAUCCACAAUUUAAUUAGUUUGUACACGGCUACCAACAUACUGCACCAGUUUAGAUCUCUUGUUCCGCCCGCAUGCAUUAAUCAGGCUGUUAAUUAGGCGUGGGUUCAUGUCCAGUUUAUUAAUUCUACGUGAAUCAAAAAUUAAUAAACCACAUUGCAUUUGUGUCUUCGUGUAGAAGAUAUAAAUCUUAUCACACGAAUGAAAAUGCCAACUAAACCAAAAACAGGGCAUAAAGAACCACUCGAACUGGAGGUGGGGACUGUGUCUGAAGAAAUCGAAGUUCCGGUGGCUUCCGAAGUUGUCUUUCGGAAAAUAUGGAAAAUCAAGCGCUUCCAC
Molecule: RNA transcript, 2455 nt
Organism: Tribolium castaneum (red flour beetle)
Lineage: Eukaryota; Metazoa; Arthropoda; Insecta; Coleoptera; Tenebrionidae
Gene name: speckle-type POZ protein-like B
Exons: 7
Source: RefSeq, a predicted model, not a curated record